CCGAUGUGUGCGGCACGUGCACACACAAUCACUAUGCUAAACGUCGCUAGCACCUUCAUCGCACUCUGAAAACAACGCACUGGUUCACAGAAAGCGGGAAUAGGUACCACACAGCGUUCUUCAGAGCACAAGCUGACCGAUAUAUAUCAUCACCAACAUCAUUAUCGUCGUAAUAGGUCCACCGAAUGGCAGUUCUAAGUCGUGAAGUGGAAAGAGCCGUAGCGACGUAUUCAAAUCAUAUUAUCAUAGUCAGCACAACGAUCGCGCCAUUGGUAACUGCACGGGAUUGCACUGCGCUAAAAAUCGGCACCAGUGCCAGGUACUAAAAAGCCAAUGAGAAAAUGGGCUGGCCGUACGCCCGCCCGCGUCCCCUUCUUCAGACAACUUGCUCAAUGUCAACUGAUCACACAAAAAACCGUGAACUAACAAAAAAAAAAAAACCGAGGAAGAAAUUGACUCAGUUAUUUCUAUCUAUAUUUUUCUGUUCGACCGUUUCUUAACUAACAGUCAGUGGAGUGAUAGGCAUCUGACGAUUUAUCCGAAAGUCUACUAUUACUAUGUUUUCGAGGAAAUAUACUGAGAUGAUGAGAGGUUUACAUCCGACAGCUCUACAAGCGAGCCCAUUGACUCGGCUUGGAUCGACAGGACACUGAACGACAGCGACAAAAUUGACUAUAAGCUAGAAUAACAUAGAGCAAACAUUUAUUUUGAACGGGGUUUAUUGUGCUGUAUUUGGUCGUCUGCUAGUUAAUAUAUGUAGGAUGCUAUUUUUCAGCCAUACGUCAACGCUCGAAUUUACGUAAUGAACUUGUUCCAGUAUCUAACUUCGUAUAUAAUGAUGUAAUAUUACCUUGUGAUCCUAUAGCUUACCGUAACGGUAACCUUAAUGUUGUGGACGGCAAAUAGGCCCAUGGUCGCAUUACGGUGUGAAUAACUAUUCCACAAAUUACAAGCUAAUCAAGUUAAUUAGUGAAAUAAACCCUAAGCGCCAUCGAUAUAUAUACGUAUAUAUAUAUAUAUAUAUAUAUAUACGGGUAUAUAUAUAUAUAUCUCUAGAUAGUUGCUCGUUGAAGACGGUAGGCGGGCAACUGGUCAUACUUCAAGCAACUAAUUGUCGACGCUGGUCGAGACAAAGAUCGAUGAUUCUUUCUGCGUUCAUGCCUUGUCAGCUAGUAGAAGUAGCAGAAGUGUAUGCGUAUGAAAACAUUUACACAAAGCUGAAGCAUAUAGUAGAUAAAGCGAUAGUCGCAUCCAUUAAUUUAACGCUAGCUCGAGGAAGGCCUUUUAGGCAAAGGCAGUACCGGUAGUCCUUUCCGCUCAAGGCAAAUGCCGCUGAUGUAAAACGCUUUUUGUUUGCGGAUCUGAACCGAAAUGCUAUGCGAUCAGCUGGAUAACUGGUACGUGACACAACUCCCGUGUGGCACGUGCCUGUUUUGAGUACUCCCGAUGUAAACGCUGUUUUGCUUACACACUAUUCGAUCGAUAGGCACUGACAGGCGCUGUUUGAACGUCCGAGAGCUACCAAGUAGAGCUUUGCUGGAGCAUUUUUGUGCAGCGGCAAUUCAAAACUGGUAAUAAGAAAGGUCUACACUAACAAAAAGUGCCGACAGUUUUUUAAAGCUCGCCACUUUUGGCAGGACCCCACAUUGCCGUUGCAGUCGGAGGUUUAGCUCAACAACAAUCUCUGACAAGAGCAAGCCUUCAGAAUCAGCGUCUACGGAAUACUAUUUCGAACGCAGAUCCGCCGAAAGGGUGUUACAUGAACGUACGUAACAAUAAUCUGUGUGAAGAUAUCCUCGGACGCUCAUUUUAACAGAGCGACGUGAAGUGGGUCAAUUGAUUGCACUAAAUUCACGAUGCCCAAACUAUU
This is a long non-coding RNA of Varroa destructor (honeybee mite), 1870 nucleotides long. NCBI's taxonomy places the organism in Eukaryota, Metazoa, Arthropoda, Arachnida, Mesostigmata, Varroidae. The record is from RefSeq and is a predicted model, not a curated record.